CAGCAGGAGUUAGUCCUGCCGGGGAAAAAGUUAGCUCCCCGUAGUGUGGAUAGCAGAAAGGAGAGAAACCGAAUUUCUGAAGCCUAAGCGCGGAAGCAUUCGCCGUUGAUCGGGCCGUCGAAGACGCAGGGUGCCGUGA
RNAcentral lists this non-coding RNA (139 nucleotides) under Bradyrhizobium sp. CIR3A. Lineage: Bacteria; Pseudomonadati; Pseudomonadota; Alphaproteobacteria; Hyphomicrobiales; Nitrobacteraceae. The record is from RNAcentral.